UUCUGGAAUUGAAGAUGCGUUUGGUUGCUCCUCUUCCCUUCGUUCCGUUGAAUGUUGUUCUGGUUCUUUCUGAUUUUCCUCAACUUCAGUAACCACAGGUUCACCUUUUACUGUUUCUGUAGGCUCAACUUCAGUAGCCACAGGUUCUUCUUUUACCGUUUCUGUAGCUUGAACUUCAGUAGCCACAGGUUCUUCUUUUACCAUUUCUCUAGGAUCAACUUCAGUAACCACAGGUUUGACUUUUACUGAUUCUGUCAGAUCAACUUCAGUAACCAGGGGUUCUUUUACUGUUUUUGUAAUUUCAACUUCUGUAGCCACAGCUUCUUCUUUUACUGUCUCUGUAGGAUCAACUUCAGUAACUAUAGGUUCGUCUUUUACCGUUUCUGUUGCCUCGAAUUCAGUAGCUGCAGGUUCAUCUUUUACCAUUUCUGUAGGCUCAACUACAGUUGUCACAGGUUCUUCUUUUACGGUUUCUGUAGCUUCAACUUCAGUAGCCACAGAUUCUUCUUUUACUGUUUCUGUAGCUUCAACUUCAGUAGCCACUGGUUCUUCUUUUACUGUUUCUGUAGCUUCAACUUCAGUAGCCACUGGUUCUUCUUUUACUGUUUCUGUAGCUUCAACUUCAGUAGCUGCAGGUUCGUCUUUUACCGUUUCUGUAGCCUCAACUUCAGUUGCCACAGGUUCUUCUUUUACCGUUUCUGUAGGCUCAACUUCAGUAGCCACGGGUUCUUCUUUUACUGUUUCUGUAGCUUCAGCUUCAGUAGCUAGAGGUUCUUCUUUUACCGUUUCUGUAGGAUCAACUUCAGUAACCACAGGUUCGUCUUUUACGGUUUCUGUAACCUUAACUUCAGUAGCUGCAGGUUCUUCUUUUACUGUUUCCGUAGCCUCAACUUCAGUAGCCACAAGUUCUUCUUUUAGUGUUUCUGUAGCCUCAACUUCAGUAACCACGGGUUCUUCUUUUACUAUCUCUGCAGUCGCAACUUCGGUAACCAUGGGUUCUUCUUUCACUGUUUCUGUAGGCUCCACUUCGAUGAUUUUGGUCUCUUCCGAUAUCGCUGCUGCUGUCUUCUCCUCAUUGGCCUCGACUGUAGAUUCAACAAUUGCAAUUGCUUUUGGUUG
Molecule: long non-coding RNA, 1119 nt
Filed under: Medicago truncatula (barrel medic)
Lineage: Eukaryota; Viridiplantae; Streptophyta; Magnoliopsida; Fabales; Fabaceae
Description: long non-coding RNA (MTRU_LNC006373)
Source: RNAcentral